RNAcentral lists this ribosomal RNA (1138 nucleotides) under Gilliamella apicola. RNAcentral describes it as "bacterial LSU rRNA". It matches the Rfam family "Bacterial large subunit ribosomal RNA", at positions 1 to 1171 of the family's 2925-position model. Lineage: Bacteria; Pseudomonadati; Pseudomonadota; Gammaproteobacteria; Orbales; Orbaceae. The record is from RNAcentral. RNAcentral also lists the same sequence under 1 other name.
GUUGUAAGGUUAAGAAAUUAAGCGUACACGGUGGAUGCCUAGGCAAUCAGAGGCGAAGAAGGACGUGUUAAUCUGCGAAAAGCGACGGUGAGCCGAUAAAAGGCGCUAUAGCCGUUGAUGUCCGAAUGGGGAAACCCAGUGUAGGUGACUACACUAUCAUAUAAUGAAUUCAUAGUUAUAUGAGGCGAACCGGGAGAACUGAAACAUCUAAGUACCCCGAGGAAAAGAAAUCAACCGAGAUUCCCUAAGUAGCGGCGAGCGAAAGGGGAGGAGCCCAAGCGGGUAGCAUGAUGUAUUAGUGGAAGCGUCUGGAAAGUCGCACGAUAGAGGGUGAAAGUCCCGUACAUGAAAAUGCAUGAUGUGGAAGCUUAUAGAGUAGGGCGGGACACGUGAUAUCCUGUCUGAAGAAGGGGGGACCAUCCUCCAAGGCUAAAUACUCCUGAUUGACCGAUAGUGAACCAGUACCGUGAGGGAAAGGCGAAAAGAACCCCGGGAGGGGAGUGAAAUAGACCCUGAAACCGUGUACGUACAAUCAGUGGGAGCUGUUACCGUUGGGUAAUAGUGACUGCGUACCUUUUGUAUAAUGGGUCAGCGACUUAUAUUCUGUAGCGAGGUUAACCGAAUAGGGGAGCCGAAGGGAAACCGAGUAUUAACUGUGCGUUAAGUUGCAGGGUAUAGACCCGAAACCCGGUGAUCUAGCCAUGGGCAGGUUGAAGGUUGGUUAACACUAACUGGAGGACCGAACCGACUAAUGUUGAAAAAUUAGCGGAUGACCUGUGGCUGGGGGUGAAAGGCCAAUCAAACCGGGAGAUAGCUGGUUCUCCCCGAAAGCUAUUUAGGUAGCGCCUCAUGAGUAACUGUUGGGGGUAGAGCACUGUUUCGGCUAGGGGGCCAUCCCGGCUUACCAACCCGAUGCAAACUCCGAAUACUGACAAGUUUAAUCAUGGGAGACACACGGCGGGUGCUAACGUUCGUCGUGAAGAGGGAAACAACCCAGACCGCCAGCUAAGGUCCCAAAGUCAUAGUUAAGUGGGAAACGAAGUGGGAAGGCUUAGACAGCUAGGAUGUUGGCUUAGAAGCAGCCAUCAUUUAAAGAAAGCGUAAUAGCUCACUAGUCGAGUCGGCCUGCGCGGAAGAU